Long non-coding RNA from Sinocyclocheilus rhinocerous, 95 nucleotides. RefSeq lists it as uncharacterized. NCBI's taxonomy places the organism in Eukaryota, Metazoa, Chordata, Actinopteri, Cypriniformes, Cyprinidae. The transcript has 3 exons. The record is from RefSeq and is a predicted model, not a curated record.
CUAUGCAGUUGCUAGGGUACCCGGGGCAGUUGCUAAGGUACUUGGGGUGGUUGCUAGGGUGUUGCUAUGCGGUAGCUAAGGUACUCGGGGCGGUU